This is a long non-coding RNA of Neofelis nebulosa (Clouded leopard), 1517 nucleotides long. RefSeq lists it as uncharacterized. The record is from RefSeq and is a predicted model, not a curated record. Lineage: Eukaryota; Metazoa; Chordata; Mammalia; Carnivora; Felidae. The transcript is spliced from 3 exons.
CCCCUCCCCGUUUGAAAGCGGCGGGGGUGGGGGUGGGGGGCGAAGGAGGGCCGUUGGCGGCCCUGCGCCGCCCCGGGUUGGGGCACCUUUCGGGGUCCAGUGCGCCGAAUGUGGAGACGGAACAGGAGCGGUUCCCUGGCUCCUGGGGCGUGGUGGCGAAGGCGCCGUCAGGGGGCCGGAGUCCUUAACCUGCCACACAGCUCUCCCCACCGCUGCCCCGCGGCCACUGCAGCCCCACCGGCAGCACAGAAAGGGUCCUGCGUGUCUCGGCGCUGUGUGUUCCAGAGCAAGUGACUCAACAACUCUGGGCCCUUUCUUCCUCCUAAUGACUAGGAGCUCUGGCAGGGGACCGACUGCGUGCCAGGGGCCAUGCUAAGCACUUUCUACACAUCAGCCCAGUGCCUGCCCCCAGUAACUAACUCUGGGUUGAGUGCUGACAUCUGCCCAUUUCGCAGAUGGGGAAAAAAGAGCCACUGGGGGUUUAAGUUACUCUUCCGGAGUGGCGGGAGGGAUUCAGCCCCAGGCAGUGGACUCCAAGCCCCACGCCAGGCAAACAUGUGGUCCCGUGGCCGGGCCCCUUCUGUCCUCCCCACCGCCCUGGCUCAGGCUGGGAGGCCCUUGUGCGAAUCCAGGCCUCGCUGGGCCUCCUCUUCCCGUCUACGAAAUGACGUCUCUUCCAGCUUCAAGAGUCUCUGAGUCUCUGACUUCAGAGCAGUUGACAGUGAGCCGCCCCUGCCUGCCAGCUGGAACCCAGAGUGAGCCUGGGGACAAAGGUGCCGGUGACUCAGGAAAGUCCCCUGGCACGCAUCUCAGCAACCAGGAAGCAGGUGACCACAGAUCAGAGGGAAAAGGCAGGGAUAACAAAAUGGCUUGUCCCGGAGGGCUGCGAGGGGGGUGAACUGGGACAAUCCAGGUGAAACACGCUCUCCACGGACCCGGAAAUAACUGUGUUUGGACACAUUGGUGGAAUGUUAAUCUCACCGGGACCUGUGCCUUACAGACGUAAACUCACCAAAUUUGUGCGACAGGCCUGUGAGGUAGGUUGUCCCGUACCCCCAGUUUACAGGCGAGGAGACAGAGACGCAGGGAAGACAAGUCAAGGCCUCGAGGUCGCACAGCCUGGUGCAGCUGAGCUAGAGCCCAGGCACCUUGUAGCUCCCUGGCUGUUAGCUAAGAAGACGAGCUCUGUCCUGAGUCCAAAGAUGCUGGUGGGUCGGGGCAGGGAUGGCCUCCGGUGCCUCACGUGUGCUCCCCGUUUCACACCCAGGGCAACUGAGGCCCUGAUGGGUCCCCGUCUGGACGCAAACAGGCGGGACACGUGCCAGAAGAUGAGACGCGUCGAGGCCCCCUUGUGUUAACCUCACUUGGGAGCCACAGCCUCCCGGCCCCAGCAGAGCCACGCCCCUGCUCCCGCUCUGAGCACAUGGCCUCCCUGCAGCUGGAAAGAGGGUCCCCAUCUCCCCCCGGGCCCCGUGAACCACUGCCUGCACUCCCCAUCUUCCUUCCUAGGGCGUGGG